This 208-nucleotide unclassified non-coding RNA is filed under the name Glomus sp. Its description in RNAcentral is "partial contains 5.8S ribosomal RNA and internal transcribed spacer 2". The stretch from base 1 to 65 matches the Rfam family "5.8S ribosomal RNA", at positions 84 to 154 of the family's 154-position model. The record is from RNAcentral. Lineage: Eukaryota; Fungi; Glomeromycota; Glomeromycetes; Glomerales; Glomeraceae.
GUGAAUCAUCGAAUCUUUGAACGCAAAUUGCACUCUCCUCGGAGAGUAUGCCUGUUUGAGGGUCAGCCUAUAAAAAAUCGACAUCGUUGCUGUUCGCGGGGGCGGUCGUCCGAAAUUUGGUCCACUUUAACCUUUUGGGUUUUUAGCGACCUAAAAUUUUCUUUUGAUUCAUGAAAGUUUUUAAGGUUUAUAACUUUACACGGUUAAG